UACAGGGGGGGCAAGCGUUGUUCGGAAUUACUGGGCGUAAAGGGCUUGUAGGUGGCCAACUAAGUCACACGUGAAAUCCCCAGGCUUAACCUGGGAACUGCGUGUGAUACUGGAUGGCUUGAAUCCGGGAGAGGGAUGCGGAAUUCCCGGUGUAGUGGUGAAAUGCGUAGAUAUCGGGAGGAACACCAGUGGCGAAGGCGACUUCCUGGCCUGUUCUUGACGCUGAGGCGCGAAAGCUAGGGGAGCAAACGGG
This 253-nucleotide ribosomal RNA is filed under the name uncultured bacterium. RNAcentral's name for it is "partial 16S ribosomal RNA". It matches the Rfam family "Bacterial small subunit ribosomal RNA", at positions 524 to 776 of the family's 1533-position model. The record is from RNAcentral.